CAAUCUCUUCUGCUUUGGUAUAUAGAGAAGCAAUAGUAAUGUUCAUUACGAAAGCAUUGUGUGGGAAUAUGUUUGAAGUUAGGGUGGAUCUGUUAGAUAAGAAAAAGUUACGAUGAUACUGUACAGUGUUUAACAAAAGCCAACUUACAUAGCACAUCGAUAUGGAUUUGUGAGCUGUACCUUCCAAAGGCAUCAUCCGUCAUACAGUGUAGUUGCUGCAUCCAAACCCAGAAUAAAAUCCACUAACAUCAAACUCUCCCCCAUAUCUCCAUCCACAGCUAGAAACACCAGUUGUU
This is a non-coding RNA of Ciona intestinalis (vase tunicate), 296 nucleotides long. NCBI's taxonomy places the organism in Eukaryota, Metazoa, Chordata, Ascidiacea, Phlebobranchia, Cionidae. The record is from RefSeq and is a predicted model, not a curated record.